Molecule: ribosomal RNA, 429 nt
Filed under: Pseudomonadota bacterium
Lineage: Bacteria; Pseudomonadati; Pseudomonadota
Description: Proteobacteria bacterium partial 16S ribosomal RNA
Rfam family: Bacterial small subunit ribosomal RNA
Source: RNAcentral
UGGGGAAUAUUGGACAAUGGGCGAAAGCCUGAUCCAGCCAUGCCGCGUGUGUGAAGAAGGUCCUCGGAUUGUAAAGCACUUUAAGUUGGGAGGAAGGGCAGUAAGCGAAUACCUUGCUGUUUUGACGUUACCGACAGAAUAAGCACCGGCUAACUCUGUGCCAGCAGCCGCGGUAAUACAGAGGGUGCAAGCGUUAAUCGGAAUUACUGGGCGUAAAGCGCGCGUAAGUGGUUCGUUAAGUUGAAUGUGAAAGCCCCGGGCUCAACCUGGGAACUGCAUCCAAGACUGGCGAGCUGGAGUAGGGCAGAGGGUGGUGGGAUUUCCUGUGUAGCGGUGAAAUGCGUAGAUAUAGGAAGGUACACCAGUGGCGAAGGCGACCACCGGGGCUCAUGCUGACACUGAGGUGCGAAAGCGUGGGGAGCAAACAGG